GGUAUACUGAGAAUACACUACAGUGAGAUCUAAACUAGAUUGUGGACAAAUAAGGGUUUACAUCCAAGCCUAAGUGCCAUGUGGGAAGUAAAAAUAUUUGAGAGUUGAAUAGGGAAGAUGGGGAUUGUUGGAGAACAAUAGGGGACAUGUGUACUAUGACAAGAAGCACGAUAUUGUGAGAGACAGCAACAAGACCAGAAUUUUUAAAAAAAUAAUAGAGAUGAAAGGGAGAAAAGUGGCAAAGGAUGAAUUAGGAAGGGUAGACAGGGUCUAUCUCCUAAGGUAAUAUCAAUAACUUUUAUUGAAUUCUAUUUCUGUGCCAAGUAUCAUUCUGAACAGUUUACUUUUAUUUACCCAUUUGAUACAGGAAACUUAUAAAGGAGAUGUGUUAGCAUCCCCAUUUAGCUGAUGAGAGAACAGAGUCCAGAAAGGGUAGAAAUCAGCUAGCAAGUGGUUGAGUCAAGAUUUGAAGCCAGGCAGACCAUUUCCAGAGUCAACAUUCUUCAUAAUCAUUCUACACUGCCUCUCCAAAUUAGAAAAGAUUAAAGAAUGAUGUUCCUUCCUGGAUGCAAAGGAAAUACAUGCUUUUCUGUACUGCUCUCUUCUGGUCUGAAGCCCUCCAAAUCCUCCAGUCCUCCCACCUUGACCACCUUCCUCAAAUACUGAAAAAAAUCUGAUGUAAACAACUGAUCAACAGUCUAAGCCAGAGACUAAGAGGAAGAAAGGGAGCCCUGUGAAUAGCGGUAUGGA
Molecule: long non-coding RNA, 750 nt
Filed under: Felis catus (domestic cat)
Lineage: Eukaryota; Metazoa; Chordata; Mammalia; Carnivora; Felidae
Description: lncRNA (ENSFCAG00000051130.1)
Source: RNAcentral